GAUUCCUAUUUACAUCUUUAUAUAUCAAGUAGCGUGAACGCGUCUUGCCCAGAGCAGCAUACCAUUGAGGUACAAAUGGUGCCAUCCAAAUAGCAUCACCAGUUUGAAUAGGGUACCAGCUAUCACUUAGUCGAUAAAUGCCUUGCCCCUCCAGCAGCAGCAAACCAUGCUGGUUAUAAUGAACUUCCUUGACAUUGAGAAAUUCUCCUGGUUGAAAAUCCAUGAUGUGUAUAUUGAAAUCAUAAGCUAAAGACGUUGGAAGAAGCUUCCUUAGCUCAAAAAUCUCGCCAGGAGUUUCAAGAAGGGGCUGCUUGUCUGUUGAACCGACAAUUUGCUCAGGAACAUGAUUUUCCAAGCCAGAAUACCUCCUUUCAAAUACAAUAAGAGUAGCAGCUGCAUCAGUUUCCACUGAGUGAUCCAAAUUGGGAGGCAGAUAAGCAUAUG
RNAcentral lists this unclassified non-coding RNA (444 nucleotides) under Hevea brasiliensis (rubber tree). Lineage: Eukaryota; Viridiplantae; Streptophyta; Magnoliopsida; Malpighiales; Euphorbiaceae. The record is from RNAcentral.